RNAcentral lists this long non-coding RNA (367 nucleotides) under Gallus gallus (chicken). The record is from RNAcentral. Lineage: Eukaryota; Metazoa; Chordata; Aves; Galliformes; Phasianidae.
CUCCUCCCUGCUGCUCGUCUGGACUGCACGCAUUGCUUCAGCAUUCACCUUUUGCCUGUUUCCUGAAUUCAAAUAGCUAAAGCAACCUGGAGCUCACGAGCAUGAGAGUGAUUGAGAAUACUUGGAUUUGUGCCAAGAAUAUCUCCAGAUUUAAAGCAAAACAACAGAAUUACUUUUGUGAAUUAGGAAAUGGAAGCCUAUUAAUUCAAUCUCAGCAUUUAAACUUACUUUGAGAGCGUAGAGUCCUGACUUCCCAGGGAUUUUGAAGAAUGUUCCAUCACCUACACGAGUGUUAGUAUGAAGCAUUGCAUUCAGGCAAGCUAAUGGAGAAGUUCCACUGAAAAAUAAAAUUGUGCAAAAAUAAAAC